UGGGGAAUAUUGGGCAAUGGGGAAAGCCAUGACCCACGCAACGCCGCGCUGAAGGAAGAAGGCCAUUCGGGCUUGGUUAACAUCUUUAUCACGGAGCGAAGGAAGUGACGGUACCUGGAGAAAAAGCAACGGCUAACUACGUGCCAGCAGCCGCGGUAAUAUGUAGGUUGCGAGCGUUGUCCGGAUUUACUGGGUGUAAAGGGCGUGUAGGCGGAGAAGCAAGUUGGGAGUGAAAUCUAUGGGCUCAACCCAUAAACUGCUCUCAAAACUGUUUCCCUUGAGUAUCGGAGAGGCAAGCGGAAUUCCUAGUGUAGCGGUGAAAUGCGUAGAUAUUAGGAGGAACACCAGUGGCGAAGGCGGCUUGCUGGACGACAACUGACGCUGAGGCGCGAAAGCGUGGGGAGCAAACAGGAUUAGAUACCC
RNAcentral lists this ribosomal RNA (423 nucleotides) under uncultured bacterium. RNAcentral describes it as "bacterial SSU rRNA". It matches the Rfam family "Bacterial small subunit ribosomal RNA", at positions 355 to 787 of the family's 1533-position model. The record is from RNAcentral.